RNAcentral lists this unclassified non-coding RNA (222 nucleotides) under plant metagenome. RNAcentral describes it as "partial contains small subunit ribosomal RNA, internal transcribed spacer 1, and 5.8S ribosomal RNA". The record is from RNAcentral.
UCUCCGUAGGUGAACCUGCGGAGGGAUCAUUACAGAGUUCAUGCCCUCACGGGUAGAUCUCCCACCCUGUGUUAUUAUACUUUGUUGCUUUGGCAGGCCGCCCGCGUGGGCUACCGGCUCCAGCUGGUAAGUGCCUGCCAGAGGACCCCAAACUCUGAAUAUUUUAUUGUCUGAGUACUACAUAAUAGUUUAAAACUUUCAACAACGGAUCUCUUGGUUCUG